AUGCACCGGGCUGAAAAGGCGGAGGCGGCUCUUCAAGAAGUGACAGCUGAGCUGACCGGUUUAAAACACCGUGUAUCCCAGAUGGUUUCUGCUAUCUUUGGUCCAAGGAGCAGCAAUCUUAGUCAAGACAUGCUGGUGAAACUUAAAGCCGUAUAUACGCUUGUUGAACAGCUAUAUACCGAAACUCAGCGCACGCUAGCCACGAUGUCUCCAUCAAAUCAAGGACCCAAUCUGCUGAGUGACGUCUUGAAGAAAUUGUCAAUUCUGCCUGCGAGGAUUCAAGAGAUAAAACGGUCUUGUGCAAGAGCCGGUGCAAUGACGGCCUUGAGCCGUGCUAAGGCAUGGCUACCAGAACUAGACCCAGCUGAGAUAGCCACUGGGUACCCAAGCUUGAAAGAGGAUGGCACUUCUUUUGACUAG
This 420-nucleotide ribosomal RNA is filed under the name Triticum aestivum (bread wheat). RNAcentral describes it as "partial small subunit ribosomal RNA". The record is from RNAcentral. Lineage: Eukaryota; Viridiplantae; Streptophyta; Magnoliopsida; Poales; Poaceae.